UGUCGUCAGCUCGUGUUGUGAAAUGUUGGGUUAAGUCCCGCAACGAGCGCAACCCUUAUCCUUUGUUGCCAGCGGUUAGGCCGGGAACUCAAAGGAGACUGCCAGUGAUAAACUGGAGGAAGGUGGGGAUGACGUCAAGUCAUCAUGGCCCUUACGACCAGGGCUACACACGUGCUACAAUGGCAUAUACAAAGAGAAGCGACCUCGCGAGAGCAAGCGGACCUCAUAAAGUAUGUCGUAGUCCGGAUUGGAGUCUGCAACUCGACUCCAUGAAGUCGGAAUCGCUAGUAAUCGUGGAUCAGAAUGCCACGGUGAAUACGUUCCCGGGCCUUGUACACACCGCCCGUCACACCAUGGGAGUGGGUUGCAAAAGAAGUAGGUAGCUUAACCUUCGGGAGGGCGCUUACCACUUUGUGAUUCAUGACUGGGGUGAAGUCGUAACAAGGUAACCGUAGGGGAACCUGCGGUUGGAUCACCUCCUUA
Molecule: ribosomal RNA, 483 nt
Filed under: Citrobacter koseri
Lineage: Bacteria; Pseudomonadati; Pseudomonadota; Gammaproteobacteria; Enterobacterales; Enterobacteriaceae
Description: bacterial SSU rRNA
Rfam family: Bacterial small subunit ribosomal RNA
Source: RNAcentral